Long non-coding RNA from Brassica rapa (field mustard), 5944 nucleotides. RefSeq lists it as uncharacterized. The record is from RefSeq and is a predicted model, not a curated record. Lineage: Eukaryota; Viridiplantae; Streptophyta; Magnoliopsida; Brassicales; Brassicaceae.
AAAAAUAAAUGUGCACAAGUUAGCAAAACAUAUUUUUCUUCAUCUAUUACUUAUUAUUCAUAUAUAUUUUUUGUAUCUCACUUAUGUUAUUCAAAUAAUUUCAGGUUUUUAUAACUAGUUGAAAAACAAAAAAAAAUACCUGCGAAAAUAUUAAACAAUUACUAUAUCUGCCAUUUUAAUAUUUUAUAAACAUGUGAGGUUCUAAAAACACUAUAUCUGCCAUUUUUACUAGAAAAAUAUUCAAACACUAAACCACAAAUAAAUCUAUAUUCCACAACACUUCAGAUUCACAAACCAAUAUUUCUAGUAACAUAAGAUUUAAAUUUAUUCUUACGUAUAUUUUCUGUUUCUUUUGUUUUGCAUUAAAUAUUCAAAUUUCGACCAAAGUUAAAAGUACUUUUAAGAAUGCCUCCUUUUCUAUGAGAUUUCCAAAAGUCUAUUCCUUAAGCUAGUAGUGAUUGUUUUAAUUUUGCUUACAUGUCAAUACUACAUUCCCUCUCACAAAAAAAAAAACACAACAUCUUUAGUAAAAAAUAUGACAUGACAUUUCUUAUUAAAACAUGUAAAUCUUAAUGAUAAAUUUUUGUUUUUGGUAAGAUUCCUAAAAUGAGAUAAUAAAAUUAGGUACAUACCAUAUAUAAAUCAUCUACAUAAUUAUCGUUCAAAUUUUAAAAUAAUAUAAUUACAAAAAAAAUUAAGAAAAUUCCACAUCAACUAAAUAUAAAAAGUUAGCCAACUUUGUAUAAAUAUCUAUAUUUUUCAAAACAAAAUGUAGGUAGAUCUUAACAAAUACAAAACUAAGAUAAUCUUAAUUAAAAUUCAAAAUUUUAUGAAAAACUAAAAAUUCAAAAACAUUUGUCGAUACAUAAAUCAUCAUAAUAAAACGAUUAUUCAAAGUUUUAAUUGUGAAUUUAUUUGAAUUUAAAUACGAUACAAUACAUUAAAAUCGGUUUGUUAGGAAUUAAACAAAAAAAAAACCAGUAAAUCAAAUUUAAAUAUUAAUAACUUCAAGUUUUUGUCUUAUAUAAUAUUAUUUUUUUGCAUUGCAUAAGAAAACACCUAGUCAAAAUUAAAAUAUUAAGCAUACAAAUCAUAAUGACCAAGUAUGCUAAAGUGGUUACACAUUGCAAAAUCAAAUCCUAUAACUAAACAACCGUUCUAUGUAAUCAGAACUUCCAACAUAUAUUAAGACCAAAAAAAAAAUAAUGGUUAAUAAGCUUUUACUUGGGGGUAGUAGUUCUUCUUUAAUUGUGUAGUUUAUGUUGUUUAUUUAUUACCUAUUUGGUUUUGAAUGAUGUUCUUAGUUUUUUUUAACUGUUUAUGAGCUAACAAUUCUACCACUUUAUAAGAAUGCACAUAUGACUAUGCUAUUCUUAACCGUCCUAUGAGAUCCAUGUUCGAUAGUACGCAUUGCACUAUAUAACUUCUUGGUGUAAAAAAUAUUAAUGAAGUAUUGGUCAAACCACUAUACUAAAGAGACUUACACUAUCAUGUACUCCCUUCGGAUACGAAUAUAAGAUGUUCUAUAUUUUUAUCUUGUAUACAAAUGUACGAUGUUUUAAGAUAUAAUUAAUGCAUUUAUUUUUAAAAUUUAAACAUAAAUUAAAAAGUAAAAUUAUAAGUGGUGAAACUUUAUUGAUAUAAUAAAAAAAUAACAAUUAAAAUAGUUUGUUUCUUAAUAUGUGUGUAAAACUUUAAACAUCUUAUAUUUAAAUCUAGAGGGAGUAUAGUUUAAUAUAGUUAAUGGCUUCAUAAAAUCUUACAACAGCCAAUUUUGAAAUCUAAAUUUUUUUAUCAUUGUCAAUAAAGCGAAUAAAGCAGCUUAACUAUAGCAAACUAUUAAUAAAACUUGCUUGUUACGUUUAUUCUAAUUCUUUCUGUAGCAAAUAGAUGUAAAUAACAGUCAGGAAAAUCUACUCUCUUUCUAAUAAAAUCAGAUUAGAUAUAUCUUCUAAAGAAACCAUUGAUGUUAUGCCAAAAAUAUCUGACUAUCUGACCCAUCUAGAUCGUGAACUGAGUACUACCGCACAUGUUAAUAGUAUGUAUACAUAUAAAACAUGAGAUUGUGAAGAUCUGUCUUGGACGGCAUCGUCCUUUCACAAUGGUCAAUAAGGUGGGUCAGCGAUCUAACGGCUGGGGUCGCCUAAAGUCUUAUAUACUAUUUUCUUAACGCAAAUCUAAAGAAGAUUAAGAACUUGUGAUAUCCAAUUUCUCUCCCCCUACAUGCGAUUCACGACCAUGAGUAAGUAACAUGUGACUUUCUCGUCUUUCUUACUUUCUUUCUCGUACUGCUCUUACUUUUCUGUCAAAAGCUUAUGUACUGUAUAUACUUUACUUCAUUGAAAAUCAUAUUUUGCCGAUAGUAACCUUUUUUCCUAUUGGUGUAAGAGUUCUCUACUUCAUAUUUUGUAUUAAAAACAAAUAUACUGACUUCAAUAUUCAUCUCUAAGAAAAAUUAUUUAGAUAUUAGAUGUGUCAAUGGAUUUAGCCUUUUUUUUUUUAACACAAAGUAUGUUAGCCUUUGUUAUCUCAUAACUCUCGCUAUACAAAAGAGUCUGUAACAUUUACCGGAUAUUCUUAUAAUAGUUUAGGUAAUAUUGUCAAAAUACUAAUCUUACAAAAUUAUAAAAAAGGAUUGGGAUCCUCUUACAUCAUUUUUAUAACUAAUUAAUAGUAUUAUGCUAGUUGUUCGAUUCAUGCGAGAUAAAAUAUCAGCGACAUCUUUUAAAAGCAAGCAACGUAGACACCUUGCCGACAAGGAAAUAUACAAGUGGGUAGAUAAAUGUUAAUUUUAAUUAAACAUGAUUAAUUUGAAAAAGUAAGAUAGUGAACUUUUUUUGGUUGGACGCCAUGGCUGAAAAUAAUAUUUAUGGGGAUGUGAUUGUUGAAGUGAAGACAUAUGUUUAUGGGUUGUGACAUGUGAUUAGAUGACUACAGAAACCACUGAACUUUUGAGCUUCUUUUUGUUCACCGUAAUAACACAUGUUUCAAGUGGGAAUGUUACAACUUAAAUUCUGAACUUCUUUGAUGAUUGUUUUAUUUUAGGAUUGUUUUUAGCACAAAGCAUAAAGUGCAACAUUUUAGAAUGAAUCUUUAAAAUGCAUCAUUACAUUUUUGUAAAAACAAAAUGAAAAUUUGAAUAGUUUAGAUAAGAAAUAAAUAAGACGCAAAGUUAAAUUUGAGAAAUAGAGGAAAUUUAAUUCAGAAAUAACGAGGCAGGUGGUCGGAAUUUUUGACUAGUAACUAUAAUGAAUACAUGUUUACCAAUAAAAUCUAACAUAUAGAUUUCUUGUUAUAUGGGAAAUGCCAAGAUGCAGACACGCAUUUUUGUUCAUACAUUUCCCCUAAAGAUCCUCCCAAAUUAGUUGGCUCCCAUGAUUUUGACAUUUCCUAUCAUUAUGUAUCGCAUUCACAUCCUCCCAACACUGUUUACUUUUUCCAUAUAUAUAUUAGUUUCCUUUUUGAUUUUGAAAACUAUUUUGGUAUACUACAAUGUUAGUAUCUUUGGUUUUUCUUGUAUCAAUUUGAGUGGUACUACAUUGUACUUUCCGUUUGAAAAAAAGUUUAUUAUAAAGUUUGAAUGAUAGUUGUUUUCUUAUAAAUGAUAGAAUCCCGUCUUUCAGUAGUUCUAAAUAUAUUUAAAACACAAUCCUAGAAAAAUAUAGUUGAUUUCUUCCAAUAAAUGUAUACUGUAAUUGUGCCCCCAUCUUUGCCAUAAUAAACAUAUGUCGGCAUGAAAAAGGGAGAAGUUAGUUGAUUAGAAAAUUCAAUUGAAAUAAUGAUUAGAAAAGAAGAAGAAAUGCAUUUUUUGUUGCUAUCUUAGUCAAACAGCAAAUACUUUUAUGCCCUUACCCAUGAUGGUAAGUGCUAACCAAGUCUUCAUCCUUAAAAGAUACAUAAACAUAUAAAAACUUAAGAUCUGGAAAACAUAAAUUAUUCCAAUUCUGGUUACUCCCACUAAUGGACUUGUUAGUUACUUGCUAGGGCCGGUGCGUAAGCAAGUGACAAAUUAAAAAAGAAAAUCUUCAAUGUUGCAGAUAAUGUAAAAAAUUUUAUACACCCAAUGAUACUAUGCCAAGUGUGGAUAUGCCACAUGAUUCGAUGGACGAUAUUUUUUUGCCUUGCUUUCCAGUUUCACCAUCGUUGAUAUAACAUCAAAGAUAAUAUCUAUGUGAUUAGUAGCACAAUGUAAAUCAUAAAAGGUUGAAGUGGCUUCUUCCAUUGCUAACUAGACAUCCUGAAGCAAUAACCGAUUAAGAAUAACAAUUCACUUAGAUCACUGAAUGUUCAGGCAAGGAUCAAGGGACAACUUUGGAUCGGGUCGACGUGGAAUCGGGUUGGACUGUUUGGAUAAGGUUCCGAUACCAUGUUAAACUAGAUAGGCUUCCAACCUAAAAUCAACUGGUGAUAAGUGGAAUGACACAUUUAUCUUAUAUAUUGAGUAUGACCUCUUUUAACUAUUGAUGUGGGAAACUUAGUCUUUAAUAAUAACAUGUAUGCUUAAUUUACAUGUUUCUCUGUAAUGCUUAUUCGUCAGUGUUUCUAAAUGAAUGGACAGCAUGCUCAUGUUCAAGAGAAUGGUAAACUGCUUAUGAAGUUUGCGUUUUCCAGGGACCAUGUUUCCCACAAUAACUGUUAGAUAUCAUCAACACUCAUGACAAUAUUAUUAAAAAAAUUGGGUCCAAAACUAAGAUUCACAAAAUUACUAUAAAAUAUUUGCAUGUAAGUUUUAAAUGUUUCAGCCAUGGAGUUGAGCCUUGAACGCGAUGAGCCAUUUAGAAGCGGGUUUUUUAGGGUGAUCCGCAUAAGAGCUCCACCCAUUGUUCUUCGAUCUUCACCGCAUCAUUGACAAAACAUCAGGUGGUAGAAGAACACGAGAGAGGAAGAUCUCAAGUUCUCAUAAGUCAUGUAAAUCCUUGCUGGUCGUCUCAGUAGCGUCAUUUCGACGUUUCAUCUAAAUUUUUUUCCUCUUUCCAAACUUCUUUGUACCUUUUUGUUUUCCAUCAACAAGUCGUCAUCACCACCAAUUCAACUGAAAUCUGAAAGUUAAAUUUGGAGCAUUUUUUAGAAGAAGAAAUGGGUAUCCUCGAUCUCGGAACUUCUUCUUGUUAACCAAGAAAAGUGCCUCCAUUUUAUCUCCUCUGUCUUAUUUCUCAAUCACAUCAAAAGAUUAAGUAAAGAUGUUGAAGUCUUUUGAUUUGAGAAUCUUAUGAGCAUUGGGCUCAGCCGCGGUAGUAGUAAUUAAGAGGUUGGAGUCUUUUAAAAUGAGAAUGUUAUGAGCGUUAAGUUCAGCAUUAAUAGUGGUACCAAAGUUCAUAUUCUCACUUCACUGUAGCGAAAAGCAUCGAUUUCAACUCGGAUAAUCGCAUUUAAUUGUAACUUUACUUCAAAGUGGUUACUUUGCUUGAUGUGUUAGUGCAUUAGGAGUAUACUCUCGCUUACAUUCAGGAAAUAUAUAUGGGACUGUUGGAGCAUACACUUCUUAGUGAGGUUGAUUUUUAUAACUUAAAUUUGUUAGUGAGGUUGAUGUUUAUAAAAUAAAUGAAAUUACAAGUUUUAAAAUUGACUCAAAUACCUUGGCGAGUUUUGAAUUGUUAAUUUCUGAUUGAUGAAUAUUGUGCAGGCCAUUACAUGUUUUUGUUUGUCCCGCAGGCCAACUUGCUUAACUGCAUAUAUAUGGAGGGCGGGAUUGGUAUCAGUUUCAAAGACCGCAUCCUGCCGUGGGCUAUGACCUAAAUAGAACAGUUACCGCAGCAGAGCGAGACAUUUGGUCGCGGAACAACCCAAUUGUCAUCUCUAAUCACAGCCAGCACACAAAAAAACUUUGGCAUUCAUUUCCCUUUAUGAUUCACAAUGUCUCCUUCGAAACUUUUACUUCCUAACAAUAACAACAUGAAUAACUGUCUUUCUAAGAUCAUACUAAUAUACAUUACCAUACCAUCAA